Molecule: ribosomal RNA, 303 nt
Filed under: uncultured bacterium
Lineage: Bacteria
Description: partial 16S ribosomal RNA
Rfam family: Bacterial small subunit ribosomal RNA
Source: RNAcentral
AGCAGUCGCCGCGGGAAUACGGAGGGUGCAAGCGUUAAUCGGAAUUACUGGGCGUAAAGCGCACGCAGGCGGUCUGACAAGUCAGAUGUGAAAUCCCCGGGCUUAACCUGGGAACUGCAUUUGAAACUGUCAGGCUGGAGUCUUGUAGAGGGGGGUGGAAUUCCAGGUGUAGCGGUGAAAUGCGUAGAGAUCUGGAGGAAUACCGGUGGCGAAGGCGGCCCCCUGGACAAAGACUGACGCUCAGGUGCGAAAGCGUGGGGAGCAAACAGGAUUAGAUACCCUGUAGUCCCUGUCUCUUAUACA